CUAGCCUGCUCNCUGACAUAAAGUGUUAAAUAGCCGCGGUAUCUUGACCGUGCAAAGGUAGCAUAAUCAUUAGUUUCUUAAUUGGGAACUUGUAUGAAUGGUUGGACAAAGAAAAAUCUGUCUCUUGCACUGAAAUUGAAUUUAACUUCUAAGUGAAAAGGCUUAGAUUAUCCAGAGGGACGAUAAGACCCUAUAAAGCUUUAUAAAUUUAUUAAUUUCGUUUAUUUUUUGUUAUAAUAAUGAUGAUAAGAGAAUUUAUUUGGUUGGGGCAACCGAAGUAUAAUUUUAAAUAACUGCUAUAAUUUAAUACAAUGAUUUUUGUCUUAUACAAUAAUUGAUCCUCAAAGAGAUUAAAGACCAAGUUACUUUAGGGAUAACAGCGUAAUUUAUCCUGAGAGUUCUUAUCAAAGGAAAAGUUUGCGACCUCGAUGUUGAAUUAAAAUGUCUACCUAGUGCAGCAGCUAGGAAAGAAGGUCUGUUCGACCUUUAAUUUUUUACAUGAUC
RNAcentral lists this ribosomal RNA (504 nucleotides) under Callinectes sapidus (blue crab). RNAcentral describes it as "partial large subunit ribosomal RNA". It matches the Rfam family "Bacterial large subunit ribosomal RNA", at positions 1854 to 2605 of the family's 2925-position model. The record is from RNAcentral. Lineage: Eukaryota; Metazoa; Arthropoda; Malacostraca; Decapoda; Portunidae.